AGAGUUUGAUCAUGGCUCAGGAUGAACGCUAGCUACAGGCUUAACACAUGCAAGUCGAGGGGAAACGACAUCGAAAGCUUGCUUUUGAUGGGCGUCGACCGGCGCACGGGUGAGUAACGCGUAUCCAACCUGCCCAUCACUUGGGGAUAACCUUGCGAAAGUAAGACUAAUACCCAAUGACGUCUCUAGAAGACAUCUGAAAGAGAUUAAAGAUUUAUCGGUGAUGGAUGGGGAUGCGUCUGAUUGGCUUGUUGGCGGGGUAACGGCCACCAAGGCGACGAUCAGUAGGGGUUCUGAGAGGAAGGUCCCCACAUUGGAACUGAGACACGGUCCAAACUCCGUAACGGGAGGCA
Molecule: ribosomal RNA, 353 nt
Filed under: uncultured bacterium
Lineage: Bacteria
Description: bacterial SSU rRNA
Rfam family: Bacterial small subunit ribosomal RNA
Source: RNAcentral